Long non-coding RNA from Mesocricetus auratus (golden hamster), 1200 nucleotides. RefSeq lists it as uncharacterized. The record is from RefSeq and is a predicted model, not a curated record. The transcript is spliced from 2 exons. NCBI's taxonomy places the organism in Eukaryota, Metazoa, Chordata, Mammalia, Rodentia, Cricetidae.
GUAACCUGCUUGUCACGUUUCCUACUUCCCUGAUAUGGAUUCCCUGGGUCUCCUCCCCUCCUUGUGUUUGAUGCUGGGACCAUCUGAACCCAUGCUGUCAUAGAGCAUCCUGGUUAGAGUCCCAGCUUGGCCACUCGGGUCUCACCUCCCCAUGGAUACAGAGUUCCCUCGGCCCCAUGGGCUGUAGUUCGUUGUAGGCCAACCAGAGUCUUCCCUUCAGGAGCUGGGGAGAAAGAUGCCCUCCCUAUCACGGUGCCUGGAAUGACUUGCUUGCGGCUGGAAGUUGGGCAGAACAGAGAUCUGGGAUGAGGUGACAGAGGCUGUCAGAGCAGGAACAGAUCCGGUCCACAGCUGGGGAGGUCCUGAUUCUCUUGAGCUCCCGUGGGAACGAGAAAACAUUGAGACGCAGAAAGCACCCAUCCCAAAGAAAAACCCAACGCAUCUUUCUCUUAACGAAGCCAUACAUUAGUGAGCCUUCGUGUCUGCCGUCUGGUACCAGAGAGAAAUGGAAAUUUUCAUCGUGGGCUGUAGUGGAAGAGCUCUUCCUAAGGUGCCCGGAUGAGCUGGGGCCCAGACACUUAGCCUCUGACCUGGUGCGGCCCUGCCGUGCAGCCACAGGACGAAAAGAGUUCCCUUAAGUAACUUUUAUGAUGACAGCGUCAUAAAUAUACAUCACAAAGGCUUUACGUGAAGGAAACACGCAAAAUUAAAGGUCCAUUUGGGGAGAACAGAAGCCUGCCCGUGCGUCUGUGUAAAUGCAGAAUCGGGCCUUCGCAGAAAUCCACAGCUGCUGCAGCGAAGCCGGGCAUUCCAGCCACUCAGCUUUUGCAGUGCUCAGGAGUUUUUUUUCCGGUUUCGUUGAGGGACCAGCUGCUCGCUGCUCUCAGCAAUGGGUGGGUAGAGGCGUCUUGAUUAAACAUGCCUCCCCGUCCUCCUCCUUGGAAACGUGGAAUCUUCAGCUAUGUGACUUCUGAGAGCUGAACCCCGUCGUGUUUGGGGUUCCCCGAAUUGAAUGUGAAUCCAGAACCAUCGCUGAAGGCCAGUGCUAAGGUGGAAGGUUAUCUGCUCCCUGGCCAGUUCUUGUGCCAUAUGUGACCCAAACACAGCCAAUAUUCUGAGAGUGAAGCAUGGAAAGUGAAUUACCUGUAAUGUCUUCCUGUCGAUGGGACAGUAUAUUCUAAAUGACUUUUUUUUUCAGAA